GGGGGUGUAAAGGUUUCGACGGGGGUGUAGAAACAAGAUAAGCGAGCCGCAGUUUGCCAAGUCUGCGUUAAAAAUGGCACGUUAAAUAUAAACGCUAAAAAUAACAAUAAUUACGCAUUUGCAGCAUAGCUGCCUGCCGCAUAAAGCGGCCGCGUCGUCGGCUCUGAUUUAUCUGUAGGUCAGAAUCCCGGCGUCAAUUAUACAGGAAAACUCUGUGCCUGCUCCCGGAAGCACAGGGGA
Molecule: transfer-messenger RNA, 240 nt
Rfam family: transfer-messenger RNA
About the family: Bacterial tmRNA, also known as 10Sa RNA or SsrA, is named for its dual tRNA and mRNA-like properties.